RNAcentral lists this ribosomal RNA (274 nucleotides) under uncultured bacterium. RNAcentral's name for it is "partial 16S ribosomal RNA". It matches the Rfam family "Bacterial small subunit ribosomal RNA", at positions 523 to 796 of the family's 1533-position model. The record is from RNAcentral.
AUACGGAGGGGGCUAGCGUUGUUCGGAAUUACUGGGCAUAAAGAGCUCGUAGGUGGCACGUUAAGUCGAUUGUGAAAGCCCCUGGCCCAACCAGGGAAUUGCAGUCGAAACUGCCGUGCUUGAGUGUGAGAGGGGAGAGUGGAACUUCCAGUGGAGCGGUGAAAUGCGUAGAUAUUGGAAGGAACGCCAGUGGCGAAAGCGACUCUCUGGCUCAUUACUGACACUGAGGAGCGAAAGCUAGGGUAGCGAACGGGAUUAGAAACCCCAGUAGUCC